GUCUUUUUGAUUUUAAUUUUAAGUCUAGCCUGCCCACUGAAUAUUUAAAUGGCCGCAGUAUUUUGACUGUGCAAAGGUAGCAUAAUCAUUAGUUUCUUAAUUAGAAGCUGGAAUGAAAGGUUGAACGAGAAAAUAACUGUCUCUUUAUAAAUUUUUUAGAAUUUUAUUUUUAAGUUAAAAAGCUUAAAUAUAUUUAAAAGACGAGAAGACCCUAUAGAGUUUUAUAUAAUUUUUUUUAAUUUUUAAUUUGAAUUAUUAAAAUUUUAGAUAAAAUUAUAUUUAGUUGGGGUGAUUGGAAAAUUUAAUAAACUUUUUUUAAAAAAAAACAUUAUUUUAUGAAUAUUUGAUCCAUAAUUUAUGAUUAUAAGAUUAAAUUACCUUAGGGAUAACAGCGUGAUUUCUUUGAAGAGUUCAAAUCGAUAAAGAAGGUUGCGACCUCGAUGUUGGAUUAAAAUUUAAUUUUGGUGUAGAAGCUAAAAAUUUUAGGUCUGUUCGACCUUUAAAAUUUUACAUGAUCUGAGUUUAAACCGGUGUGAGCCAGGUUGGUUUCUAUCUUUAAAUUAAAAUAAUACUUUAGUACGAAAGGACCAAGUAUUUAUAAAAUUUAU
This 608-nucleotide ribosomal RNA is filed under the name Acrotona sp. prope assecla HE-2010. RNAcentral describes it as "partial 16S ribosomal RNA". It matches the Rfam family "Bacterial large subunit ribosomal RNA", at positions 1829 to 2712 of the family's 2925-position model. The record is from RNAcentral. Lineage: Eukaryota; Metazoa; Arthropoda; Insecta; Coleoptera; Staphylinidae.